UUUUUUUCUUCUUCUU
This 16-nucleotide small RNA is filed under the name Arabidopsis thaliana (thale cress). RNAcentral describes it as "ATSL112870". The record is from RNAcentral. Lineage: Eukaryota; Viridiplantae; Streptophyta; Magnoliopsida; Brassicales; Brassicaceae.